UUAUCCGGAUUUAUAGGGUUUAAAGGGAGCGUAGGCGGACGUUUAAGUCAGUUGUGAAAGUUUGCGGCUCAACCGUAAAAUUGCAGUUGAUACUGGGUGUCUUGAGUACAGUAGAGGCAGGCGGAAUUCGUGGUGUAGCGGUGAAAUGCUAAGAUAUCACGAAGAACUCCGAUAGCGAAGGCAGCUAGCUGGACUGUAACUGACGCUGAUGCUCGAAAGUGUGGGUAUCAAACAGGAUUAGAUACCCUGGUAGUCCACACAGUAAACGAUGAAUACUCGCUGUUUGCGAUAUACAGUAAGCGGCCAAGCGAAAGCGUUAAGUAUUCCACCUGGGGAGUACGCCGGCAACGGUGAAACUCAAAGGAAUUGACGGGGGCCCGCACAAGCGGAGGAACAUGUGGUUUAAUUC
RNAcentral lists this ribosomal RNA (409 nucleotides) under uncultured bacterium. RNAcentral's name for it is "bacterial SSU rRNA". It matches the Rfam family "Bacterial small subunit ribosomal RNA", at positions 541 to 952 of the family's 1533-position model. The record is from RNAcentral.